This 1449-nucleotide ribosomal RNA is filed under the name Staphylococcus aureus. Its description in RNAcentral is "partial 23S ribosomal RNA". It matches the Rfam family "Bacterial large subunit ribosomal RNA", at positions 1 to 1452 of the family's 2925-position model. Lineage: Bacteria; Bacillati; Bacillota; Bacilli; Caryophanales; Staphylococcaceae. The record is from RNAcentral.
GAUUAAGUUAUUAAGGGCGCACGGUGGAUGCCUUGGCACUAGAAGCCGAUGAAGGACGUUACUAACGACGAUAUGCUUUGGGGAGCUGUAAGUAAGCUUUGAUCCAGAGAUUUCCGAAUGGGGAAACCCAGCAUGAGUUAUGUCAUGUUAUCGAUAUGUGAAUACAUAGCAUAUCAGAAGGCACACCCGGAGAACUGAAACAUCUUAGUACCCGGAGGAAGAGAAAGAAAAUUCGAUUCCCUUAGUAGCGGCGAGCGAAAUGGGAAGAGCCCAAACCAACAAGCUUGCUUGUUGGGGUUGUAGGACACUCUAUACGGAGUUACAAAGGACGACAUUAGACGAAUCAUCUGGAAAGAUGAAUCAAAGAAGGUAAUAAUCCUGUAGUCGAAAAUGUUGUCUCUCUUGAGUGGAUCCUGAGUACGACGGAGCACGUGAAAUUCCGUCGGAAUCUGGGAGGACCAUCUCCUAAGGCUAAAUACUCUCUAGUGACCGAUAGUGAACCAGUACCGUGAGGGAAAGGUGAAAAGCACCCCGGAAGGGGAGUGAAAUAGAACCUGAAACCGUGUGCUUACAAGUAGUCAGAGCCCGUUAAUGGGUGAUGGCGUGCCUUUUGUAGAAUGAACCGGCGAGUUACGAUUUGAUGCAAGGUUAAGCAGUAAAUGUGGAGCCGUAGCGAAAGCGAGUCUGAAUAGGGCGUUUAGUAUUUGGUCGUAGACCCGAAACCAGGUGAUCUACCCUUGGUCAGGUUGAAGUUCAGGUAACACUGAAUGGAGGACCGAACCGACUUACGUUGAAAAGUGAGCGGAUGAACUGAGGGUAGCGGAGAAAUUCCAAUCGAACCUGGAGAUAGCUGGUUCUCUCCGAAAUAGCUUUAGGGCUAGCCUCAAGUGAUGAUUAUUGGAGGUAGAGCACUGUUUGGACGAGGGGCCCCUCUCGGGUUACCGAAUUCAGACAAACUCCGAAUGCCAAUUAAUUUAACUUGGGAGUCAGAACAUGGGUGAUAAGGUCCGUGUUCGAAAGGGAAACAGCCCAGACCACCAGCUAAGGUCCCAAAAUAUAUGUUAAGUGGAAAAGGAUGUGGCGUUGCCCAGACAACUAGGAUGUUGGCUUAGAAGCAGCCAUCAUUUAAAGAGUGCGUAAUAGCUCACUAGUCGAGUGACACUGCGCCGAAAAUGUACCGGGGCUAAACAUAUUACCGAAGCUGUGGAUUGUCCUUUGGACAAUGGUAGGAGAGCGUUCUAAGGGCGUUGAAGCAUGAUCGUAAGGACAUGUGGAGCGCUUAGAAGUGAGAAUGCCGGUGUGAGUAGCGAAAGACGGGUGAGAAUCCCGUCCACCGAUUGACUAAGGUUUCCAGAGGAAGGCUCGUCCGCUCUGGGUUAGUCGGGUCCUAAGCUGAGGCCGACAGGCGUAGGCGAUGGAUAACAGGUUGAUAUUCCUGUACCACCUAUA